This 391-nucleotide unclassified non-coding RNA is filed under the name soil metagenome. Its description in RNAcentral is "partial contains 5.8S ribosomal RNA, internal transcribed spacer 2, and large subunit ribosomal RNA". The stretch from base 1 to 122 matches the Rfam family "5.8S ribosomal RNA", at positions 35 to 154 of the family's 154-position model. The record is from RNAcentral.
GAUGAAGAACGCAGCGAAAUGCGAUACUUGGUGUGAAUUGCAGAAUCCCGUGAACCAUCGAGUCUUUGAACGCAAGUUGCGCCCGAAGCCAUUAGGCCGAGGGCACGCCUGCCUGGGCGUCACACGUCGUUGCCCCCCCAUCUACUCCUUCGGGAUUGCGGGGGGCGGAUGAUGGCCUCCCGUGCGCCUCGCCGCGCGGUUGGCAUAAAUGCCAAGUCCUCGGCGACGCACGCCACGACAAUCGGUGGUUGCGAAACCUCGGUUGCCCGUCGUGUGCGGUCGUCGCGCAUCGAGGGCUCGAAAAAAUUGCCGAGUUCCGGCUCGACUUUCAACGCGACCCCAGGUCAGGCGGGGUUACCCGCUGAAUUUAAGCAUAUCAAUAAGCGGAGGA